GCAUAUCAAAAAGCGGAGGAAAAGAAACCAACAGGGAUUGCCUCAGUAGCGGCGAGUGAAGCGGCAAAAGCUCAAAUUUGAAAUCUGGCGUCUUUGGCGUCCGAGUUGUAAUUUGAAGAAGGUAUCUUUGGGCCCGGCUCUUGUCUAUGUUCCUUGGAACAGGACGUCACAGAGGGUGAGAAUCCCGUGCGAUGAGAUGACCCGGGUCUGUGUAAAGUUCCUUCGACGAGUCGAGUUGUUUGGGAAUGCAGCUCUAAGUGGGUGGUAAAUUCCAUCUAAAGCUAAAUAUUGGCGAGAGACCGAUAGCGAACAAGUACAGUGAUGGAAAGAUGAAAAGAACUUUGAAAAGAGAGUGAAAAAGUACGUGAAAUUGUUGAAAGGGAAGGGCUUGAGAUCAGACUUGGUAUUUUGCAUGCUGCUCUCUCGGGGGCGGCCGCUGCGGUUUACCGGGCCAGCAUCGGUUUGGAGCGGCAGGAUAAUGGCGGAGGAAUGUGGCACGGCUUCUGCUGUGUGUUAUAGCCUCUGACGAUACUGCCAGCCUAGACCGAGGACUGCGGUUUUUACCUAGGAUGUUGGCAUAAUGAUCUUAAGUCGCCCGUCUUGAAACACGGAC
RNAcentral lists this ribosomal RNA (613 nucleotides) under Candida albicans. Its description in RNAcentral is "eukaryotic LSU rRNA". It matches the Rfam family "Eukaryotic large subunit ribosomal RNA", at positions 38 to 666 of the family's 3401-position model. The record is from RNAcentral. Lineage: Eukaryota; Fungi; Ascomycota; Pichiomycetes; Serinales; Debaryomycetaceae.